AAAGAAGCACUGCUCAUCAUCAUGGUGACUGUGAUGGAGGCCUGGGUGAGCAGUGGUGUAGACAGUUGCACAGAGGAGCCCAAAUGUUGCUCGAGACCCAAGAAAGCCCUGUGGGGUGAGGACAGCACCAGGCUCACCUGCCCACCUGGUCUCCAUCCAGGAGUCCAGAGACCCAGGACCAAACUGAUCCUGUCUUUAUGUUCAAUGUGGAGAUCUUGUUCAGCAAACCAUUCCAAGCAGAAUCUGCAAGACACAAUCAAACUGAAAGCAAGACUGGACUUCUGGCUUUGGAUCCCUGGUUUCAGACCCUGUCUGACAUUGCAUCGGGCGGACAUCCAAGCUUCAGUUUCCUUCUGUGUUAAAUGAGGAUAAGAAGAAAUCCACCUCCUGGGCUCACUGUGAGGGUUCAACGGGGUAAUCGUGUCAGUAGCUGAGAAGCAUGAAUAUUUGAUCUAUGUCAGCCAUUAUUACUGUUUUCCAAAUCUUGGUUCCUCCACUAGUGACUUUACCUCUUGGAAUUUUAAUCUCCUUUUCUGUAAAAUGGAGAAAUAAUAGGACUAUCUCUUAAGGUUGCUGUAAAGAUUAAAUGAGUUACUGUACAUGAAGUACCUAAAACAAUGUGUACAUGUGCUGUUAACUGUUACUAUUACAACAAUCACUACAACUACUACUGUUGUUCAUACUAUUAAUAGCUUAUUCUCCCUCCUCCUCCUCCUGCUGUAACUACUACUGCCACUGUGGCUGCUAUUGUUGCCCUGGUAGUUAGGUAGUUAAUACAAUUGCAAUGAGAGCU
This 793-nucleotide long non-coding RNA is filed under the name Homo sapiens (human). RNAcentral's name for it is "HSALNT0373393". The record is from RNAcentral. Lineage: Eukaryota; Metazoa; Chordata; Mammalia; Primates; Hominidae.